RNAcentral lists this ribosomal RNA (248 nucleotides) under Mantidactylus paidroa. RNAcentral describes it as "partial 16S ribosomal RNA". Lineage: Eukaryota; Metazoa; Chordata; Amphibia; Anura; Mantellidae. The record is from RNAcentral.
GCUUCAAACCCAACUACACCCCUAACUUCUAUAACCCCCACCCCACGGGACCCUGUAUAGUUGGUUUUAGGUUGGGGCAACCACGGAGCACAACAAAGCCUCCACAAUGAAUGGGACCACCCCCCUUAUCUAAGAGCCACACCCCUAGGAAUUAAAACAUUAAUAUAAAAUGAUCCAUUAUUUGAUCAAUGAACCAAGUUACCCUGGGGAUAACAGCGCAAUCCAUUUCAAGAGCCCCUAUCGACAAA